Molecule: ribosomal RNA, 498 nt
Filed under: uncultured bacterium
Lineage: Bacteria
Description: partial 16S ribosomal RNA
Rfam family: Bacterial small subunit ribosomal RNA
Source: RNAcentral
AUUGAACGCUGGCGGCAUGCCUUACACAUGCAAGUCGAACGGUAACAGGUCUUCGGACGCUGACGAGUGGCGAACGGGUGAGUAAUACAUCGGAACGUGCCCAGUCGUGGGGGAUAACUACUCGAAAGAGUAGCUAAUACCGCAUACGAUCUGAGGAUGAAAGCGGGGGACCUUCGGGCCUCGCGCGAUUGGAGCGGCCGAUGGCAGAUUAGGUAGUUGGUGGGAUAAAAGCUUACCAAGCCGACGAUCUGUAGCUGGUCUGAGAGGACGACCAGCCACACUGGGACUGAGACACGGCCCAGACUCCUACGGGAGGCAGCAGUGGGGAAUUUUGGACAAUGGGCGAAAGCCUGAUCCAGCAAUGCCGCGUGCAGGAUGAAGGCCUUCGGGUUGUAAACUGCUUUUGUACGGAACGAAAAAGCUUCUCCUAAUACGAGAGGCCCAUCACGGUACCGUAAGAAUAAGCACCGGCUAACUACGUGCCAGCCGCCGCGGUAA